UCCUACAACUUUUCUAAUAAAAAAAUAAAGUUUUUUUUUAAAGUUAAAAAACAAUUAACAAUUAAAAAAAAAAAAAAAAACAACGAAAACACCACCAAAACUAUAAUCCGUGGUAUACAGAAAAUACACAGCAUUUGGGAACCACCGGCUUGUUUGGAGAGCUCCUCAAACCCAGGUCAGGAGGCAAGAGUCUCCUUGGGGUGCCCUUCAACGAGCUGCGCUGCAGCACUGUCACCUUCCGAAACCCUGGGACGACUGGGGACUGUGCUGGAGGAUGACAGAGAGACCUGUGGCGCCUUGGGCUGCGGACGGACUGAAGGCCAGGCGUCCCCUCCCACUGAUGACCCACCUCAGCCCCGGCCCCCUGAAUGCCAGGACUCCGCCCUGGACAUUUCCCAAACGCAAAAGUUGAGCCCUAACCGGCCAUCCGCCCCAGACCCGGCCCCACCGGCCCUAACAGCCACCAGGUUAAGGCUGGCGUGAGGGUGCGGGUGGGGGGAGUCUCACACCUCCAUUAAUCCCCCCCCUCCCACCCGGUGAGCCGCCUCGGCCUGCCUCCCCCUUCCAGUCCUCCCCACGUAGCCUGGCGCUGUCGGGGUGUCCCGGGUCCCCAGGACAGGGUCUCCAGCGCGGUGGGCCCCCUUCGUGAGGGAGACGGGCCGGCGAGCCCCGGGGUCCUCCCCCGCCCCUUGGGUCCCCCAAGCGUGGGUCCCAGAGCUGCCGUUGGCCCCGGAGGUCCAGGCAGGG
RNAcentral lists this long non-coding RNA (747 nucleotides) under Dasypus novemcinctus (nine-banded armadillo). Its description in RNAcentral is "lncRNA (ENSDNOG00000051169.1)". The record is from RNAcentral. Lineage: Eukaryota; Metazoa; Chordata; Mammalia; Cingulata; Dasypodidae.